CAGAAUCCACUAGGUUUAGCAGAGACAACCUUUCCACUCUUUGGUCUUAUUUCAGGUCCUGUUGUUGGUUAACAUUUUAGGUCCUGUUGUUGGUUAACAUUUUUGUAAAUGUGAACAUUGCUGAGUGUUGCCAGCUGGCAGCCAGAUGCCUCUUUCAGGCUAGCCCUUCAGUCUGGCUGAGUGACACUUGUGUGGGCAGAGCCCCACCCCUCCAGGUUUUGGGCUGCCUGGUGGGUUGGGGAAGGGUGAAGAGGUUUGGAGGGAGGUGAUUCUGUCAGCUGUGUGGGCUGGGAGGGCUGGCAGGCCUGUGUUCCCUCUGCCUGGCCUGCCACGGGAGGGCAGGAAGUCUCAGGAAGGCUGUUGGUGCUGUGGUGAACGUGGGAAGCUGUUUCCUGACCAACUCUCCCUGCUCCAACAUGUUUUCUGGUUGUCCCUGCCACAGCUGUAACUCUCUGCAGACCACUGCUUUCUGGAGCUCAAUAAUGAAAGGAUAACUCUCUGGAAGUGGAGAUGAGAAAAGCCAGGGAGCCUCAAGCCCACCCCUCUGUCACUCCUGUGACUUCUCACUCCUCCCAUUCUUGCUGUGUGGCAUUUUCUGCCCUUGUGGCAGCCUAAAGAAGCAGCAAGGCCAUUCUACCCUGCCUGAGGGGGUUGCACAGAGCAGGAUGCCACCUGCAAGGCUGGCACUGCCAUCUGCACCUGUUUCUUUUACGGUGACAAAAAGUGGCAACAUCAAAGCAGAAGACACAGCUCUCCUUUGGAGCCUGACAGCUGGCUAAUCAUCCAGUUUCUUUUAGUGCAGUCCCACUGGACAUCCAGCAAAGACUCACAUGCUUUAGGCUCUGUCCACUCCCCUCAGCACCGUGCCCUUUCCAAAGCAAAUGUGUUUACAGAAAGCACUCAGGCAUCACAAACCAACCAACUCCACCUUCCAAGCAAGCUGCAAGGUAGGAUUGCUGCAAGGUAGGAUUGCUGCAAGGUAGGAUUGCUGCAAGGUAGGAUUCUGCACACUUUUCUCCUUUAAAACACGUGCAGCUGAUUUCCCUCCCAAGCAGUGGCAGCGCUCUCAGAUGUGACAGCUGAGACUCUGGUGCUGGGCUGGCUGCACACAACACACAGUUGGGGACAUUGUGCUGCUCAGGUGACACUGGCACCCUGCUGGCAUGUGAUCUGUGUCCCUCAGCUGCCAGACAUACCACACUUUGUGAGACUGUGUCUAUAGCAAGGUCAAGUGCAACUGAAUCCAUCAGUGGGGAAUUUACUGGUGAAUGGAAGGUGACUUAGACAGAAAUGAAUUUUCAGGAUUUGGAAGGAAGGGAAGAGAGAAAAAAACAUUUUAGAGGGAGCUGCUGAAACAGACACAGUUGUUUACUUGCUAUAAAAUUAAAUUUUACUUCUCUAAAUAUGAGAAAGGUACUCCCAAUGAGGAAUUUAAAACUCCUGAAAAGGAUGUUUAUGAUCAAGUGCUUUACUUCUGAAAAAUUGGCAAAUAAGUUCAUUAUUAAAGAUUCACACUAAAAUA
This is a long non-coding RNA of Vidua macroura (Pin-tailed whydah), 1522 nucleotides long. RefSeq lists it as uncharacterized. The transcript is spliced from 2 exons. The record is from RefSeq and is a predicted model, not a curated record. NCBI's taxonomy places the organism in Eukaryota, Metazoa, Chordata, Aves, Passeriformes, Viduidae.